AACAUUUUUAUCUCGAACUAUUUCGAAUUCUUCCAUCUCGCUCUGGCUCAUUUAACGUAUUUUACUUUGACAUUUCGAAUGUUUUUUUUUCCGAAGCGAAGCAAUGUUCGGGAGCAUCGCGACAAGUCUCGUCCGUCUCGUCGCGCCGUGAAAAUUCAAAAAAAUUACUACUGAGUUUCAUCCGGAUUCCCAAAAUCCGUUUUAUUGGGCAAACGAUGAUUAGAUCCGAGAAACAUUGCGACUUUCGUGGAAUACGUGAAGGGGCGAACGGAAAAGCGCACCUGAUCAAAUGCGACGGAGGGUUCUACGUGAAGUACAACUGGUCGGAGAUCAUCUCGAAGGAACUGAUUCUGAUGUGCUUCGUAUUGCUGCCAUUUGCGGUGUUCCGUCCGUGCGGGAAUGCCAUACAGCGCCCUCAGUGUUGAAUUGAUAACGAUAUACUGACCAAAUCCUAUGGCAAUGUUCCAUCUAGGUGAAUUUUCUAUGAUCUGGAGAAAGUUCCCUGCACGCAAAGAGAAAAUUACCAGCUGGUGCUGUCACCGUAGACAGUGGAGGAAAUUUCCGCAAAGGAUAUAUAUUAUUGACGAAGAAGACCGUACCUUGCAAGUAGGAUCUAAAUCGAAGGAAUCAAGCGUUAUGGACGUCAACAUGAACGAUGUAUUUUUGCCGCUAAAAUUCAAUGCUCAGAGUAUCAUCGAAAUUCCGGUUGAACCGGUCAAUCUUUCGGAGCUGCCAAAAAUGUUGGAUGGGUGAGGCGGCGAGCACGUCAUUCUUGGAACUAGCGAACUAUAUCUGGAUUGCAGCAUGCAUGAUCUGCGAAAAAUGUACUCUGAAAUCUACAUCAAAGUAGUAGAUCCAGUGGUGGCAUUUUGCAAAAGUGUAGUCAAGAUAAGUUCCUUGCCGAAACGCCAAAUAUAAUUAUGAUUGCUGGACAAAAGUAGCUUUAUACGAUUACUAGAACCUAGAUAGCCACGCCGAGGAAAGAGUCUUUCUGAGGACGUUUCGAUCAUCAAAUUCUUCGACCAUCUUAUGUUGCUAGCGCUGGCUCGCCCCGAUGUCCUGCUCAACAAUCCGAUCUAAGAAAGUAUUCGUAAACUCGCCCAGUGGACACAUUCGUCGGCUCCGUCGGAGGCCCAGUGACCUCAUAUAUACGUGGCUUCUCUGCAACAAUGAAUCAAUGUAACUGCUCGUAAAGCAAAACCUAGCCGUCAUCGCUAGAUGGCUAUACCCUCAAUGAUGAGUCUCUAAGGGAAAAAUCAACAACGGCCUCGAAGCCCUCCUUGGGGAAAACGAGAGUGGACUAAGGCUACUAUAGUAGCUAUAGCGAUGGAAAAAGAAUAUAUGGAGAAAUCCUGCAGGACAACUGGUUAUUCAGUAAUUGCUGAAACUGAAGACAACAACCAU
This is a long non-coding RNA of Armigeres subalbatus, 1404 nucleotides long. RefSeq lists it as uncharacterized. Lineage: Eukaryota; Metazoa; Arthropoda; Insecta; Diptera; Culicidae. The record is from RefSeq and is a predicted model, not a curated record. The transcript has 3 exons.